UUAAUUUAAAAAUGAUUUCAGAAACACAUUUGAUUAAUGCCUGACUCCCUGUAAUCCGUGUGUUUUCUAUACAACCAACCUCCAACUGACGUGUCACAUUUCCUUGUUAUGUUUUGAGUCAUGUUAAGUUUCACUUUCACUUUGGCAAAUAACUGCUGCGCACUAAAGGCUGCUCCUCUCGGUCGGUGUUCGUACAUCUAUCAUCUUCUCCAGUUCCUCGACCAUCCCUUUCACCAUGAGUGGAGACUGAGUCAAAAAAGAGGGCUAAGGAGGAGAGAGAAUAUUAUCCUGCAUUAGAACCUGAGAUCAUGAAGAAGGAGUUAAAGGAAGAACAAUUUGCUUUCAGACGUGGGCAGAUUGGACAUGCUGAUGAAAGCAGAGUGAAGUCAACACACUGGGAUAAUAAAUGAAGAUUUGGUCUUUAAAAAAACAAGAAUUAGGAAAUGGAAUAUAACAAGUAAUUUAUUAAUCAACUUGUAAUUCCCUUUUUAAAUAAUCCAAGUCCAGUUUACAUUCAAAAGCUGGAUUUUAAUCUGUAUAUUUUGGUGCUAUUUCAUUGAUUUAGAUUUUUAUUAAUAGCACAUAAAGAGAUAAUGUUCACAAUUAAAAACAAUAGAGGAAUAUGCAAUGUGAGGCCAAAGACCUAAAAGGCUGAUUGAGGGUCUCUUUAAAUACAAUUAUGUAUUCAAAAUCUGAAUACUUCUUCAAUAUAAUUUGAAAUUGACUGCAAGAUUUGU
This is a long non-coding RNA of Trematomus bernacchii (emerald rockcod), 737 nucleotides long. RefSeq lists it as uncharacterized. Lineage: Eukaryota; Metazoa; Chordata; Actinopteri; Perciformes; Nototheniidae. The transcript is spliced from 5 exons. The record is from RefSeq and is a predicted model, not a curated record.